This 425-nucleotide ribosomal RNA is filed under the name uncultured bacterium. Its description in RNAcentral is "partial 16S ribosomal RNA". It matches the Rfam family "Bacterial small subunit ribosomal RNA", at positions 354 to 796 of the family's 1533-position model. The record is from RNAcentral.
GUGGGGAAUCUUGCGCAAUGGGCGAAAGCCUGACGCAGCCAUGCCGCGUGAAUGAUGAAGGUCUUAGGAUUGUAAAAUUCUUUCACCGGGGACGAUAAUGACGGUACCCGGAGAAGAAGCUCCGGCUAACUUCGUGCCAGCAGCCGCGGUAAUACGAAGGGGGCUAGCGUUGCCCGGAAUUACUGGGCGUAAAGGGCGCGUAGGCGGACAGCUUAGUCAGAGGUGAAAGCCCAGGGCUCAACCUUGGAAUUGCCUUUGAUACUGGCUGGCUUGAGUUUGGGAGAGGUGAGUGGAACUCCGAGUGUAGAGGUGAAAUUCGUAGAUAUUCGGAAGAACACCAGUGGCGAAGGCGACUCACUGGCCCAAUACUGACGCUGAGGCGCGAAAGCGUGGGGAGCAAACAGGAUUAGAAACCCCAGUAGUCC